This 475-nucleotide ribosomal RNA is filed under the name uncultured bacterium. RNAcentral describes it as "bacterial SSU rRNA". It matches the Rfam family "Bacterial small subunit ribosomal RNA", at positions 28 to 496 of the family's 1533-position model. The record is from RNAcentral.
GAUGAACGCUAGCGGCAGGCCUAACACAUGCAAGUCGAGGGGCAGCAUUAGUAGUUUACUAUUAGAUGGCGACCGGCGUACGGGUGCGUAACACGUAUGGAACCUACCCUUGUUAGGGGGAUAGCCCGAGGAAACUCGGAUUAAUACCCCAUGGUAUUUAAGAUUCGCAUGGAUUUUAGAUUAAAGAAUUUCGAACAAGGAUGGCCCUGCGUACCAUUAGCUAGUUGGUAAGGUAAUGGCUUACCAAGGCAACGAUGGUUAGGGGCCCUGAGAGGGGGAUCCCCCACACUGGUACUGAGACACGGACCAGACUCCUACGGGAGGCAGCAGUGAGGAAUAUUGGACAAUGGGCGGGAGCCUGAUCCAGCCAUGCCGCGUGCAGGAUGACUGCCCUAUGGGUUGUAAACUGCUUUUAUACGAGAAGAAUCUUUCGCUACGUGUAGUGAAUUGACGGUAUCGUAUGAAUAAGGACCGC